GGAGGCCACCGCUAUUGGAAUCCGAUUUAGACAUGUGAGUCGAGAGUCUUCGGGACUCGGCGGACGGCUCAGUAACACGCGGAUAAUCUGCCCUUGGGUGGGGAAUAAUCUCGGGAAACUGAGCAUAAUACCCCAUAGGCCUGAGAUGCUGGAACGCUCUCAGGCUAAAAGCUCCGGCGCCCAAGGAUGAGUCUGCGGCCUAUCAGCUUGUAGUUGGUGUAAAUGACCAACUAGGCGACGACGGGUACGGGCAUUGGGAGAUGUAGCCCGGAGAUGGACUCUGAGACACGAGUCCAGGCCCUACGGGGCGCAGCAGUCGCGAAGACUUCACAAUGUGGGAAACCGCGAUGAGGGGAUUCCAAGUGCUUACGCUUUGCGUAAGCUGUUCUUCUGCCUAAAAAGCAGGGGAAGUAAGGGCUGGGUAAGACGGGUGCCAGCCGCCGCGGUAAUACCCGCAGCCCGAGUGGUGGUCGAUAUUAUUGAGCUUAAAGCGUCCGUAGCCUGUCUGGUAAAUUCUUGGGUAAAUCGUGCAGCUUAACUGUCCGAAUUCCGGGGAGACUGCCAGACUUGGGACCGGGAGAGGUUGGAGGUACUCCUGGGGUAGGGGUAAAAUCCCGUAAUCCUGGGAGGACCAUCAGUGGCGAAGGCGUCCAACUGGAACGGAUCCGACGGUCAGGGACGAAGCCCUGGGUCGCGAACUGGAUUAGAUACCCAGGUAGUCCAGGGUGUAAACGCUGCAGACUUGGUGUCGGAGGUCCUACGAGGGCGUCCGGUGCCGGAGAGAAAUUGUUAAGUCUGCCGCUUGGGGAGUACGUCCGCAAGGAUGAAACUUAA
RNAcentral lists this ribosomal RNA (834 nucleotides) under uncultured archaeon. RNAcentral's name for it is "bacterial SSU rRNA". It matches the Rfam family "Archaeal small subunit ribosomal RNA", at positions 19 to 859 of the family's 1478-position model. The record is from RNAcentral.